CGAAAAACGGAAGCUGGUCUUAUCUUUUGACGACCCAAAUAUCAGAUGGAGUCGAUUCAAGCACCACAUGCUGGAAAUACUGCACCAUAGUGACAUAAGGGGCAUCGCAUUCAGGAAACCUAAUGAUUCCAUAUACACCUUCCCAAUGCCUGAUUGCAUGUGCCAACAAGAUGGUUUAUGAUCUAGGCGUUAGCAUACAUAACUGAGGGAUGCAUAUCCUCUGCCUUUGUGCAACAAAGGCACCAAAGGCACGGCAUUGUUGACUGCAUGAUCAGGAUUUGAUGGUCAUGAUGAAAACUGGAGUGAAGUAAAGCAUUUGGUGCUUCUCAGGAGAUUCUGAAACCCUAUGGCAUACCCCAAACCGUUCGAUUCUGGAUAUAAUGGUCAAAAGGUGCCUAAUGACAAUGAAUUCCAUAGGAUCAGAAAUUGAGAGGAUGCGAGGGAUUUUGUAAAGUUAGUAAUCUGUAGGUAGUCCACCUUAUAGCAAUCUCCAUUUGUUCAAUCUGUCUGUAGGUUGUAAAGUGAAAAGAGCUACGAGAUUGGGUUGUAGAUAUGAGUACAACCUGAGUGCCUCAAUGUAUAUUCGAAAAACAAGGGCUAACAACAACAAAGAAAGGAAAUUUUCAGUA
Molecule: long non-coding RNA, 629 nt
Organism: Triticum dicoccoides
Lineage: Eukaryota; Viridiplantae; Streptophyta; Magnoliopsida; Poales; Poaceae
Exons: 2
Source: RefSeq, a predicted model, not a curated record